GGCGUGGUGGCAGAGUGGUCUAACGCGCAUGACUCGAAAUCAUGUCUCUUCGGAGGCGUCGGUUCAAAUCCGGCCCACGUCG
Molecule: transfer RNA, 82 nt
Filed under: Bombardia bombarda
Lineage: Eukaryota; Fungi; Ascomycota; Sordariomycetes; Sordariales; Lasiosphaeriaceae
Rfam family: tRNA
About the family: Transfer RNA (tRNA) molecules are approximately 80 nucleotides in length. Their secondary structure includes four short double-helical elements and three loops (D, anti-codon, and T loops). Further hydrogen bonds mediate the characteristic L-shaped molecular structure. tRNAs have two regions of fundamental functional importance: the anti-codon, which is responsible for specific mRNA codon recognition, and the 3' end, to which the tRNAs corresponding amino acid is attached (by aminoacyl-tRNA synthetases). tRNAs cope with the degeneracy of the genetic code in two manners: having more than one tRNA (with a specific anti-codon) for a particular amino acid; and 'wobble' base-pairing, i.e. permitting non-standard base-pairing at the 3rd anti-codon position.
Source: Rfam by way of RNAcentral